UGAUACCAUAUGCAGUCUAUGC
RNAcentral lists this non-coding RNA (22 nucleotides) under Arabidopsis thaliana (thale cress). The record is from RNAcentral. Lineage: Eukaryota; Viridiplantae; Streptophyta; Magnoliopsida; Brassicales; Brassicaceae.